This 344-nucleotide unclassified non-coding RNA is filed under the name Zea mays. RNAcentral describes it as "misc RNA Zm00001eb052990". The record is from RNAcentral. Lineage: Eukaryota; Viridiplantae; Streptophyta; Magnoliopsida; Poales; Poaceae.
AGGUCGCUUUCGCAGCGCUGAGGAGGGCGGCGCCCCGGCCCCGGGCGGCGGGGUGGGAACGCCGCCGACCGCCGCAGCUGGUGGUGAUGGUGGUGCAGGUGCUGGUGCCCCGUCGACAGCGGGCCCUGAUCCCGCUCCCGGACCUGCACGAGCCCCCGCGGGCGCUGGCGCAGGGCGUCAUCGGCCCUCGCCGCCGCCACGGCCGCGGAGGUUGCCGGGCACGACGCCUCGGAGCGGCGGUGGUGGUGGUGGACCCUGUCGGACCGGACGGCUGCCAUGGCAAGCUUUGGCUGGCCCUCGACGCGCGGCGCCCGCCCAAGAUGGAUCGGAUGCCGCGGAAGGAA